GCGGACGGGUGCGUAACACGUAGCUACUUGCCCCACAGUGGGGGAUAACCCGGGGAAACCCGGGCUAAUACCGCAUACACCCGAGAGGGGAAAGCCGAAAGGCGCUGUGGGAUAGGGCUGCGGCGUAUCAGGUAGUUGGUGGGGUAACGGCCUACCAAGCCUAUGACGCGUAGCUGGUCUGAGAGGAUGAUCAGCCACACUGGAACUGAGACACGGUCCAGACUCCUACGGGAGGCAGCAGUGGGGAAUCUUGGGCAAUGGGGGAAACCCUGACCCAGCAACGCCGCGUGGAGGAAGACGCCCUUCGGGGUGUAAACUCCUUUUGCAGGGGAAGAGAGAGACGGUACCCUGCGAAUAAGCUCCGGCUAACUCCGUGCCAGCAGCCGCGGUAAUACGGGGGGAGCUAGCGUUACUCGGAAUCACUGGGCGUAAAGGGUGCGUAGGCGGCUUANUAAGUUGGGAGUGAAAUCCCACGGCUCAACCGUGGAACUGCUUCCAAAACUGCUAAGCUAGAGUCCGGGAGAGGCCGAGGGAAUUCCUGGUGUANGGGUGAAAUCCGUA
Molecule: ribosomal RNA, 561 nt
Filed under: uncultured bacterium
Lineage: Bacteria
Description: bacterial SSU rRNA
Rfam family: Bacterial small subunit ribosomal RNA
Source: RNAcentral